AAUACGAAGGGACCUAGCGUAGUUCGGAAUUACUGGGCUUAAAGAGUUCGUAGGUGGUUGAAAAAGUUAGUGGUGAAAUCCCAGAGCUUAACUCUGGAACUGCCAUUAAAACUUUUCAGCUAGAGUAUGAUAGAGGAAAGCAGAAUUUCUAGUGUAGAGGUGAAAUUCGUAGAUAUUAGAAAGAAUACCAAUUGCGAAGGCAGCUUUCUGGAUCAUUACUGACACUGAGGAACGAAAGCAUGGGUAGCGAAGAGGAUUAGAUACCCUCGUAGUCCAUGCCGUAAACGAUGUGUGUUAGACGUUGGAAAUUUAUUUUCAGUGUCGCAGCGAAAGCGAUAAACACACCGCCUGGGGAGUACGACCGCAAGGUUAAAACUCAAAUGAAUUGACGGGGACCCGCACAAGUAGUGGAGCAUGUGGUUUAAUUCGAAGAUACGCGCAGAACCUUACCAACACUUGGCAUGUUCGUCGCGACUCUAAGAGAUUAGAGUUUUCGGUUCGGCCGGACGAAACACAGGUGCUGCAUGGCUGUCGUCAGCUCGUGUCGUGAGAUGUUGGGUUAAGUCCCGCAACGAGCGCAACCCUCACUUUUAGUUGCCAUCAUUAAGUUGGGCACUCUGAAAGAACUGCCAGUGAUAAGCUGGAGGAAGGUGGGGAUGACGUCAAGUCCUCAUGGCCCUUACGUGUUGGGCUACACACGUGCUACAAUGGUAUCUACAACAGGAAGCAAGACUGCGAGGUCAAGCAAAUCCUUAAAAGAUACCUCAGUUCGGAUUGCACUCUGCAACUCGAGUGCAUGAAGCUGGAAUUACUAGUAAUCGUGGAUCAGCGUGCCACGGUGAAUGCGUUCCCGGGUCUUGUACACACCGCCCGUCACACCAUGGGAGUUGGUUCUACCUUAAGGCAAGGUUUAAAACCCUUGACCACGGUAUAGUCAGC
This 939-nucleotide ribosomal RNA is filed under the name uncultured bacterium. RNAcentral's name for it is "bacterial SSU rRNA". It matches the Rfam family "Bacterial small subunit ribosomal RNA", at positions 522 to 1472 of the family's 1533-position model. The record is from RNAcentral.